Molecule: ribosomal RNA, 471 nt
Filed under: uncultured bacterium
Lineage: Bacteria
Description: bacterial SSU rRNA
Rfam family: Bacterial small subunit ribosomal RNA
Source: RNAcentral
GCAGAGCAUCCUACGGGAGGCAGCAGUGGGGAAUAUUGCACAAUGGGCGCAAGCCUGAUGCAGCCAUGCCGCGUGUAUGAAGAAGGCCUUCGGGUUGUAAAGUACUUUCAGCAGUGAGGAAGGUGGGUAUGUUAAUAGCAUAUUCAUUUGACGUUAGCUGCAGAAGAAGCACCGGCUAACUCCGUGCCAGCAGCCGCGGUAAUACGGAGGGUGCGAGCGUUAAUCGGAAUUACUGGGCGUAAAGCGCAUGCAGGUGGUUUGUUAAGUCAGAUGUGAAAGCCCGGGGCUCAACCUCGGAAUUGCAUUUGAAACUGGCAAACUAGAGUACUGUAGAGGGGGUAGAAUUUCAGGUGUAGCGGUGAAAUGCGUAGAGAUCUGAAGGAAUACCGGUGGCGAAGGCGGCCCCCUGGACAGAUACUGACACUCAGAUGCGAAAGCGUGGGGAGCAAACAGGAUUAGUUACCCUGGUAG